Molecule: small RNA, 91 nt
Filed under: Cellulophaga fucicola
Lineage: Bacteria; Pseudomonadati; Bacteroidota; Flavobacteriia; Flavobacteriales; Flavobacteriaceae
Description: Flavo-1 RNA
Rfam family: Flavo-1 RNA
Source: RNAcentral
UUGCAGACUGCGUUAGGGAUAGAAGCGGCAUCUUUUUUAAGAUUCUUUUUUUUAGAAGAUUAAAAAAAUACAGCGAAUAGCCCGUUAAAAC